Molecule: ribosomal RNA, 436 nt
Filed under: uncultured bacterium
Lineage: Bacteria
Description: partial 16S ribosomal RNA
Rfam family: Bacterial small subunit ribosomal RNA
Source: RNAcentral
AGCGAACGCUGGCGGCAGGCUUAACACAUGCAAGUCGAGCGGGCAUCCUUGUGGUGUCAGCGGCAGACGGGUGAGUAACGCGUGGGAACGUGCCCUUCGGUUCGGAAUAACUCAGGGAAACUUGAGCUAAUACCGGAUACGCCCUUUUGGGGAAAGGUUUACUCCCGAAGGAUCGGCCGGCGUCUGAUUAGCUAGUUGGUGAGGUUACGGCUCACCAAGGGGACGAUCAGUAGCUGGUCUGAGAGGAUGAUCAGCCACACUGGGACUGAGACACGGCCCAGACUCCUACGGGAGGCAGCAGUGGGGAAUAUUGGACAAUGGGGGCAACCCUGAUCCAGCCAUGCCGCGUGAGUGAUAACAGCCUUAGGGUUGUAAAGCUCUUUUCUCCGGGACGAUAAUGACGGUACCGGAGGAAUAAGCCCCGGCUAACUUCGUG